GCUGGGUUUGGUGGCACAUGUCUGUAAUCCCAGAGGCUCAGGAGGCUGAGACAGGAGGAUCACAAGUUCAAAGCCAACCUCAUCAAUGGUGAGGCGUUAAGCAACUCAGUGAGGCCCUGUCUCUA
RNAcentral lists this small RNA (125 nucleotides) under Marmota monax (woodchuck). The record is from RNAcentral. Lineage: Eukaryota; Metazoa; Chordata; Mammalia; Rodentia; Sciuridae.